This is a non-coding RNA of Ciona intestinalis (vase tunicate), 780 nucleotides long. The record is from RefSeq and is a predicted model, not a curated record. NCBI's taxonomy places the organism in Eukaryota, Metazoa, Chordata, Ascidiacea, Phlebobranchia, Cionidae.
AAUUUAAAAAAAAAAUAUAUAGCCUUUUAACUCAAGGUGCUUAUGCCUUGAUCUGUCCUGCUGCUCAUACCCAAUUUUUUCAUCCCUGAGGUUUUUUUUGUUAAAGCAGGACAAAGGCUCUUCCUCAAGAUCCAAAUUUGGGUCACAGAGCAGUUAUAUAGAGGGUUAAAACAACAAAAUUGGGUAACAGGUAGCAAGUGCCAAGGGUACAACAUUUUUUUGGAUUUUAUGUUAUUCUAUGUACAGCUGGGUUUAACAGAAAUUAGUUCUGCCCAUUGAUAUAUUACAAUAUAUAUUGCAUUAUUGCAUAUUAUCUUGUAUUGAAGCCGGGUGUUAAUUACCACUAGAAGAUCUGGAUGACUAAAUUUAGAAUUGAAAAAGAUUUGAAGAUGUCCGAAAGUGAGUUAUGCACGUUUGGAAUGAUUCUGACAGGAACGGCCCUAGUGGUUGCCGAUGGCUUGUCACCUACUCGGAAUGAUUCUCUUUUGCAAAUUUGUUGAUGGUAAAGAUGAAUAGUUUGGAGUAUUUGGUAUCUGUACUGCAUCCUGGGAUAGAGCAGACCGUUUUAAAGUCUUCCGGGUGCCUUUAGACUGACGACAGAUCUUUGAGUCAUACAUGUUUUUCAACUGUUUGGUAUGGCUGAAUGCUCGAAUUUUUACAUAUUUUGAAACUAUCAAUUCCAUAGCUGAAAAAACUUGAGUAUUGUCAUAGUUACUAUGAAAGGAAAUGUUUGAAACAAUACUUGUCAGGGCGUACUGUUUCAUUGUGUUAAUGACAAUU